RNAcentral lists this long non-coding RNA (213 nucleotides) under Marmota monax (woodchuck). Lineage: Eukaryota; Metazoa; Chordata; Mammalia; Rodentia; Sciuridae. The record is from RNAcentral.
AGGUCUGAGAAAAGGCUGUUUUCAGGGUGUAAACACUCCCCUUGUUUCCCUGGGAUGAUGCAUAGUGGUUAAGCCUCUGGGGCCUUUGUGCAUUUUUCAGGCAUGAGUGACACAGUGCUGGGUGGCAGACCCUGUUAGCGGAUGCUGGACACAGGCCAGGGCAUCUCAGCCUCCCAGGGAGGAUCCAUCUGGUGGAAGUUGGGCACCUUGUAA